Long non-coding RNA from Siniperca chuatsi (mandarin fish), 191 nucleotides. RefSeq lists it as uncharacterized. The transcript has 2 exons. NCBI's taxonomy places the organism in Eukaryota, Metazoa, Chordata, Actinopteri, Centrarchiformes, Sinipercidae. The record is from RefSeq and is a predicted model, not a curated record.
GAGAGAAAUGUUGUUAAUGACGAUAUUAAACUCUGAUUGCCUGUUCCAGUGGUUUCUAGGAAACAGAUCCCUUAAAGACAGUGUUACCUCAUCCUGCAUGUAGUCGUCGCUGGUCGAUUCAGCUGAGACGUCUUCUGUUGUACAACUGGAACUUUUACCUGUAAGUAUUAAAGCUGCUGAUGAUUCUGAAA